Molecule: ribosomal RNA, 465 nt
Filed under: Fastidiosipila sp.
Lineage: Bacteria; Bacillati; Bacillota; Clostridia; Eubacteriales; Oscillospiraceae
Description: bacterial SSU rRNA
Rfam family: Bacterial small subunit ribosomal RNA
Source: RNAcentral
AUUUGAGAGUUUGAUCCUGGCUCAGGAUGAACGCUGGCGGCGUGCUUAACACAUGCAAGUUGAACGAAGCUCUUUGGCCUGAUUCCUUCGGGAAGAUGAUCAUUGAGACUGAGUGGCGAACGGGUGAGUAACACGUGAGCAACCAACCCCUGACAGCGGAAUAACAACGGGAAACCGUUGCUAAUACCGCAUGAAAUCUCUGUAUGGCAUCAUACUAAGAUCAAAGAUUUAUCGGUCAGGGACGGGCUCGCGUCCGAUUAGGUAGUUGGUAAGGUAACGGCUUACCAAGCCUGCGAUCGGUAGCCGGACUGAGAGGUCGAACGGCCACAUUGGGACUGAGACACGGCCCAGACUCCUACGGGAGGCAGCAGUGGGGAAUAUUGGGCAAUGGACGCAAGUCUGACCCAGCGACGCCGCGUGAAGGACGAAGGCAUUCGUGUUGUAAACUUCUUUGGAGAGGGACGA